RNAcentral lists this ribosomal RNA (506 nucleotides) under uncultured bacterium. Its description in RNAcentral is "partial 16S ribosomal RNA". It matches the Rfam family "Bacterial small subunit ribosomal RNA", at positions 29 to 523 of the family's 1533-position model. The record is from RNAcentral.
AGUGAACGCUGGCGGUAGGCCUAACACAUGCAAGUCGAACGGCAGCACAGGAGAGCUUGCUCUCUGGGUGGCGAGUGGCGGACGGGUGAGGAAUACAUCGGAAUCUACUCUGUCGUGGGGGAUAACGUAGGGAAACUUACGCUAAUACCGCAUACGACCUACGGGUGAAAGCAGGGGAUCUUCGGACCUUGCGCGAUUGAAUGAGCCGAUGUCGGGUUAGCUAGUUGGCGGGGCAAAGGCCCACCAAGGCGACGAUCCGUAGCUGGUCUGAGAGGAUGAUCAGCCACUCUGGAACUGAGACACGGUCCAGACUCCUACGGGAGGCAGCAGUGGGGAAUAUUGGACAAUGGGCGCAAGCCUGAUCCAGCCAUACCGCGUGGGUGAAGAAGGCCUUCGGGUUGUAAAGCCCUUUUGUUGGGAAAGAAAUCCAUCUGGUUAAUACCCGGGUGGGAUGACGGUACCCAAAGAAUAAGCACCGGCUAACUUCGUGCCAGCAGCCGCGGUAA